CCUCCUUGGCCUUCUUUUUGUGAUGCUGCCUGACCUUCCUUAAAACCUUAUACUUCUGCCUCAAUGGAAUUCUCUUACUUUUACUUUUUUUGCUCUUUUUCACCAUAUUUGAUUCUUCCUGGAAGAGAAGAUGCCUGGAGAGGAAACUAGAUAGAGGGGAAGAAAGAGAGAAUGUCGCUGGUUUAUGCCAGGGUUUUAAGUUUUAACAGAGAAAAAUGGGAAGGAGAUGACUGGAGACUGGAGUCGACACUCGAUU
This 256-nucleotide unclassified non-coding RNA is filed under the name Hevea brasiliensis (rubber tree). The record is from RNAcentral. Lineage: Eukaryota; Viridiplantae; Streptophyta; Magnoliopsida; Malpighiales; Euphorbiaceae.